AUCAGGUAAGACUACCCGCUGAACUUAAGCAUAUCAGUAAGCGGAGGAAAAGAAACUAACAAGGAUUCCCCUAGUAACGGCGAGUGAAGCGGGAAGAGCUCAAAUUUGAAAUCGGGGGGCUUUCAGUGGCCCCUAGCCGAAUUGUAGUUUGAAGUGGCGCCAUAUUUGUGCGAGGAAGGAAUGAUCUUGGCCGGGCCAAAGUCCCCUUGGAAAAGGGCAUCAGAGAGGGUGACAAUCCCGUUCAGGGCCCCCUUUGUUUGAUCCUCUCCUCCAUUUCGCCCUCCCCUCGGGGGGGGUGAAGCAGGCGAUCUCCACGAAGAGUCGGGUUGUUUGGGAAUGCAGCCCAAAAGGGGUGGUAAAUCUCAUCUAAGGCUAAAUAGCGGCGAGAGACCGAUAGCGAACAAGUACCGUGAGGGAAAGAUGAAAAGAACUUUGAAAAGAGAGUUAAACAGUACGUGAAAUUGUUAAAAGGGAAACGCUUGAAAGCCAGUGC
Molecule: ribosomal RNA, 493 nt
Filed under: Moneuplotes crassus
Lineage: Eukaryota; Ciliophora; Spirotrichea; Euplotida; Euplotidae
Description: partial Eukaryotic large subunit ribosomal RNA
Rfam family: Eukaryotic large subunit ribosomal RNA
Source: RNAcentral